Molecule: ribosomal RNA, 292 nt
Filed under: uncultured bacterium
Lineage: Bacteria
Description: partial 16S ribosomal RNA
Rfam family: Bacterial small subunit ribosomal RNA
Source: RNAcentral
GUGUCAGCCGCCGCGGUAAUACGUAGGGUGCAAGCGUUAAUCGGAAUAACUGGGCGUAAAGGGUGCGCAGGCGGGUUUGCAAGACAGAUGUGAAAUCCCCGGGCUCAACCUGGGAACUGCAUUUGUGACUGCAAGUCUAGAGUAUGGCAGAGGGAGGUGGAAUUCCAUGUGUAGCAGUGAAAUGCGUAGAGAUAUGGAGGAACACCGAUGGCGAAGGCAGCCUCCUGGGCCAAUACUGACGCUCAGGCACGAAAGCGUGGGGAGCAAACAGGAUUAGAAACCCCCGUAGUCC